This 1731-nucleotide unclassified non-coding RNA is filed under the name Zea mays. RNAcentral describes it as "misc RNA Zm00001eb244970". The record is from RNAcentral. Lineage: Eukaryota; Viridiplantae; Streptophyta; Magnoliopsida; Poales; Poaceae.
CUUGUCCCAGGUGGCCAGAGGAGGCAAGCAGACAUGAGCGCUGCUACUCUCCCGCCCGGCCAGGAGCCGCACGCAGUGUGCGUGCCGUUCCCGGCGCAGGGCCACAUCACGCCGAUGCUGAAGCUGGCAAAGAUCCUCCACGCCAGGGGCUUCCGCGUCACCUUCGUCAACACCGAGUACAACCACCGCCGCCUCGUUCGCGCCCGCGGCGCCGCCGCCGUCGCGGGCCUCACGGGGUUCCGCUUCGCCACCAUCCCGGACGGCCUGCCGGAGUCGGACGCCGACGCCACGCAGGACCCGGCGACCAUCAGCUACGCCACCAAGCACAACUGCCCGCCUCACUUGAGAAACCUGCUCGCCGGGCUGGACGGCGUGACGUGCGUCGUGGCGGACAACCUGAUGAGCUUCAGCUUGGACGCCGCGAGGGAGGCGGGCGUGCCGUGCGCGCUCUUCUGGACGGCCAGCGCCUGCGGCUACAUGGGCUACCGCAACUUCCGCCUCCUCAUCGACAGGGGCAUCAUCCCCCUCAAAGACGAAGAGCAGCUGACGAACGGGUUCAUGGACACGCCGGUGGACUGGGCGCCCGGCAUGAGCAAGCACAUGAGGCUCAAGGACUUCCCGACCUUCCUCCGCACCACGGACCCCAACGACGUCCUGAUGACCUUCCAGCUACAAGAGGUGGAGCGCUCGGAGUACGCGUCCGCCGUCAUCGUCAACAGCUUCGACGAGCUGGAGCGGCCGGCGCUCGACGCCAUGCGCGCCACCAUCCCGGCCGUAUACACCAUCGGCCCGCUCGCUUCCGUCACGGAGCAGGUCGUCCCAAGGGGCCCCCUCAACGCGGUGAGCUGCAGCCUGUGGCAGGAGGACCAGUCCUGCCUCGCGUGGCUGGAUGCCAGGAAGCCCCAGCCGUGGUCGGUGGUCUACGUGAACUUCGGGAGCGUGACUGUCAUGAGCGGGCAGGAGUUGGCGGAGUUCGCGUGGGGGCUGGCGAGCAGCGGCCACGACUUCCUGUGGGUCGUCAGGCCGGACGUCGUGAAGGGCGACACGUCCUCGGCCGCGGCGCUGCCCCCUGGGUUCCUGGAGGCGACCAAGGGCAGGGGCCUCGUGGCGAGCUGGUGCGACCAGGAGGCCGUGCUGCGGCACGAGGCGGUGGGCCUGUUCCUCACGCACAGCGGGUGGAACUCGACGCAGGAGAGUCUCAGCUCCGGGGUGCCGAUGCUGUCCUGGCCCUUCUUCGCGGAGCAGCAGACCAACUGCCGGUACAAGUGCGUCGAGUGGGGCGUGGCGAUGGAGGUCGGCGACGACGUGCGGCGGGAGGCCGUGGAGGCGACCAUACGGGAGGCGAUGGGUGGGGACAAGGGGAAGGAGAUGGCGCGCAGGGCGGCGGAGUGGAAAGAGGUCGCCGCGGGGGCGGCGGCGAGGUCGAUCGCGAACCUCGACACGCUGAUCAACGAUGUGCUGCUCUCUCCGGCACGAUUGGGCGGCUCACUCAAAACGACUUGAAUAAUGGAUGGCCCCGAUCAAAUCUUGGCGAUGCGGUGCCAUGGAUGAGCGAUGACGACUAUCGAGAGUCUGAAAUGGUUGUCUUUCUUUUCCAGCCCCCAUCGUGACUUUUGUGACUGUGUGAUGUAUGCGUUUGCAAAGUUAGUGUUUCCCUCUCGUCGCCUUGCACGGUAGUUACUAGUUAGACCAAGAGCUCCUUAAAAUUAAAACAAAAGUUGAUUUUGUUUU